AUUGAACGCUGGCGGCAGGCCUAACACAUGCAAGUCGAACGGUAACAGGAAGAAGCUUGCUUCUUUGCUGACGAGUGGCGGACGGGUGAGUAAUGUCUGGGAAACUGCCUGAUGGAGGGGGAUAACUACUGGAAACGGUAGCUAAUACCGCAUAACGUCGCAAGACCAAAAAGGGGGACCUUCGGGCCUCUUGCCAUCGGAUGUGCCCAGAUGGGAUUAGCUAGUAGGUGGGGUAACGGCUCACCUAGGCGACGAUCCCUAGCUGGUCUGGGAGGAUGACCAGCCACACUGGAACUGAGACACGGUCCAGACUCCUACGGGAGGCAGCAGUGGGGAAUAUUGCACAAUGGGCGAAAGCCUGAUGCAGCCAUGCCGCGUGUAUGAAGAAGGCCUUCGGGUUGUAAAGUACUUUCAGCGGGGAGGAAGGGAGUAAAGUUAAUACCUUUGCUCAUUGACGUUACCCGCAGAAGAAGCACCGGCUAACUCCGUG
Molecule: ribosomal RNA, 490 nt
Filed under: uncultured bacterium
Lineage: Bacteria
Description: partial 16S ribosomal RNA
Rfam family: Bacterial small subunit ribosomal RNA
Source: RNAcentral